Egretta garzetta (little egret) is the source of this 1064-nucleotide long non-coding RNA. RefSeq lists it as uncharacterized. NCBI's taxonomy places the organism in Eukaryota, Metazoa, Chordata, Aves, Pelecaniformes, Ardeidae. The record is from RefSeq and is a predicted model, not a curated record. The transcript is spliced from 5 exons.
UGUUCCCCCGAUACCUUCCCCUCCGGGGCAGCGCGGGGAGCUCAUCCCCGGUCCCCCCCCCGAGGCCGCUGCCGCCUUCCCGCCGGCCGGGGCCAGGCGGGGUGGUUUCCUGAGGGUAGCUGGCGCGAAACUGGCCAGAGCCCCACGGGCAUCAAAGUAGAUCUCGUUGCGUUUCUGUGCUGAUUGGCAUCUCGUAAUUGUUCCUGAGCUGUUAAUUAACAGCUGGCAGUGUAUUUCCAUCUUGCUCUAGCUGCUGUGUGGUUUGCCUGUGCAGGAUGUUGUGAUGCAUGACCAAAAGAAUACCAAAGACAUCAAAUAAAAAUAUGACCUGUUCUCUUGACAACAGAAAUUACAGUAAAUUCCUAAAUUUCAUAGAUUAUCAGUUAAUUUUCCUUUUCAAACAUUAACAAUCUAAAUGCUGGCAGAUUAGGAAACAUCUAGAUCAUGGAGUUAAAUGUCAUAGGAAGAUUAUGCACCAAUUCACUGGUAUAUGUUUGUUAUUAUAAAAUGCUUUACUUUUUGUAGGGAAGAAUUUUUUUGGCCCUUAAUAUUUUUCAGACACUUUGGUUCACAUGACCUCAAUUCUGCCUAAACAAGUGCAGUAUAGAAAUAUAUAUGCUCGCAUCUCUGAACUUGUAUGUGUGCAGGAUGCGUUCAUAGCUCUUCAAAUGGGCAACGCACGUUUCAGGACAUAGGUGUGCAUAUUUGCAGUGGGCAGUUCUGAAAGUCAUCGAUUUAUAAGAUGAAACUGUUACAUUUUCUGUGACAAUGACUCAUCCACCUAUAGCUAGAGCAAAAUUCCAGAAAAGAAGAACUUACCUCAACAGUGUCAUCCUCCCUCCAGAAAGUUGAUUGUCUGCUUUGGAUAGUCACAGAAUAAUGUCCACAGUGCAAACAAGAACUACUUAGAAAGAGUCAUGAAGCCUGAGCCAUGCUGUACCAUCUUCUUUUGAAAGUCUUUUGAGAAUCCAUUCUCCCGAGAGGAUACUAGAGUGCAAAAGCCAACUGACUCCAGUGGCCUUGCUUUUCGUUUGUGAAACAGGUUCACACGUGCAUUGUGUGAU